Molecule: long non-coding RNA, 5296 nt
Filed under: Sus scrofa (pig)
Lineage: Eukaryota; Metazoa; Chordata; Mammalia; Artiodactyla; Suidae
Description: lncRNA (ENSSSCG00000052378.1)
Source: RNAcentral
UUCUUGGCUAAGAAGAUGCCAUAUUUAUGGACUAACUUUAUUUAUAAUGAUCAUUUAUGUAAAAAAAUGACUUCCUGAAGUUUCCUUUGGGGUAUUUCCAUAGGUCAACAGUAUCAUAAAAAACAGAGUUAGUAUUAAAAUAUGUAAGCUGGUAAAUAAGUAGCCUUAAGAAUGGGUGCCCAGUUGGGACUCAGAUGCCUUAUAUUCUAUCCUAUACUGCAUUAUAAAUUUCUUUUCAUAUGCUAUGAAUCUCUUUAGGGCCAGAUUCUUCUUUUUAAGGAAAAAGGUUCACACAAACCUUCAGUUUUUUACGCUUCCCUAAUCGUACUGUUCAAGUGACAAAUCUCCUCCCAAUCACUAUCAGAUUAACAGCAAGACAGACACUCACUGAAGACACUCCUCAACUGUAAAAAGUCAAAAUGUCUCUUUAUUUUGUCCCCUCCUCCUAUAACCACUUGCCCAUUUUUAACGAAUUUGUGGUUGAGAUAGUAAUAGUUCUUAUCAAAUGAGUCUAUAAAAGUAAGAAAUCUUAAAUGAGAAAAUGUAAUGGAAAGAGUAUGCUGAAAAGGAUUUAAGAAGUACAAGAGAAAAAUUGUAAAGACACAUGCUUGUUGCAGGGGCAUUUACUAAUAUGUCUUCGUCAUAUGGUCAGCACCCUAACAUCACCACCACCUUCACAGGCAUCCCAUCAGGAUCUCUGCAUGCUGGUCCAUGCUAGAAUUCUGAUGGAAUGUCAAAGGCAGAGGCAGCUAGAGGCACAGUUCUUCCUAAGGUCUUACCAUUCCCACACAUGGUCUACAUGUGUGUGUUGUUUCUUGACUGCGUGUGAGGCUGUUCCCUAUGUAAGUGAGCAGUAGCAGACAUGAAGACAGACCCUAUAAUCAUGACCUCCAUCACACGUGCUGUCUCAGGGCCACCACACGGCACCCCCCACCAUCCAGGUGAAGCCAAUGCCAGAUUGCACAGCUCACAGCAUACUUGGCCACUGUGCAAGUUUGCAUUAACUCCAUAUGCCUCAUCUCACUGAAUAAAACACACGGUACAGAGACCGGUAUGUCAUGUCUUUGCAUUUCCGUCUUCCUCCCAGAGUAAUAUAAGCUCCUUGAGGGUAAUUUCUCUCCCUUAUGGCCCUAGAACCUAGCUCAGGCUUUUGCAACGAAUGUUGAACAAGGUAUUAUUCAUAUCAUUCACUCUUCCCUUUGAAGCAAAAGAAUUUCUUACUCUUCCUUUCCAUGUCUAAUGGAAAGACUUAGUCCUAACUGAGUUAAAUGAAUAAGGGAUGAAAAAAUAAAUGCAUGUGUGAGCAUUUCACUGGGACUGCACAUUCUAACUCAUAGAAAUAAUUAUUUGUAGUAAUUUUUAGAAUGUUGCUCCAGUGCUUAACCCAGUCUGUGUAGUUAAUCAGAAUUUUUGUCUUAUCUCACCAGCUUAGGGUAUAAACACCCAGAAGCUGCAGUUUUGUUUCUCAGGACAGAGUCCAUAGCACCAGGCCUUUGAUGGGAUCAUAGCUAUUUGUUGCUUUGCUUCAUCUUGAUUUGAUUUGAUUUAAAUUUCCCAGAAAUGCUUUAUUCCAAGCAGUCAAACAAAAUGUCAUGACUAUUCCAGACACAAGUAGACAAAUAUCUUAAAAGGCUCCGUUUUACAGUCAGAAGGCUGUAACCUUAUCUAAAUUCUCCAGCAUUACCUACAUCCCAUCCACACGCUGCCUAUUUCAAAAUAUCCAAUAAACAGAGAAAAUUAUUGAGGAAAUUGUUCUGAGGGAAAACACUAGGGCUAGCUGAUUGAAUUACUUUCUUUUAGAUUGUUCUGUGUAUAAGAAUGUCACCAAAGAAAUGAAAUCGGCUUUCCUGAUUUUAUGUGAUAAGCAGUGAUAAGCACCUGUAGGGUAUACAUCAGGUUACCUUCUCUCUGUUGUCAACCAUGCUGAUGGCAACAGAUAAGAUGCUUUAUUAUAAUACCCAGGAGAUGGAAACAGGUCCAGUUUGGGGUCAGUUUUAAGUGACUUGUUGGGCACACUUCAGUAUUUGUGAAUUUGCUGAUCGGGUUUGUGGAUAUUCAUUCCUAAUACAAUUCAAUCUCACCACCAAAAUUGGCUUAAUGGAAUGGUUUCUGAUAUUUAUUUCAGGAGGUAAUUUUGAACCAUUAAAGUUGUGAAAGCCACUUUUCCUCGUGAGUCAGCAGAGUUUAUAAUGUGUACUUAAAAGGGGAUAAUUAAGGACCAGGCAGCCUCUUGAUUGUUUGCAGAGCUUCCAAAAUUUUAUUCUGAUGAACAACUGUUAUUUCAGUCUACUCAUUUGUGGAAUAGGAACUAAUUGUUUAGCCUCAUCUGUGGUGUUUCUGAGGAAGAAGAAACUAGACAAUGCUGAUUUGAUUAAUCCUUGUAUAUUUACACAGGGAGAUAAAAUAUGCUAUUAACUUUGAACUUUUGAUAUUUGAGUUGUGCACUUAAUAUUUUAUCCAGAUGGCACAGGUUUAUAUCAGACCAACCCUAAUUAUCUAAUACUGAAUGGUAAGAAAAGAGGAUUCAAAGUGAUACAGAAAAUGUGUUUCACAAAAGUAAAGAGGGGGGUUGGUUCCUUCCAGUUUAAUAUUUACAUUUGGAAAAAGGAGUUUGAAAGUUAACAUUCUUUUGGUAAAACAUAAAUUAAGAUUUCUUAGUUUUCAAGUAUUUAAAGUUUUAGAAAAUAUAAAUUCUCAAAAUAUUCAAGAACAUCUUGAGCACUAUUUUUCUAGUUCUCUGUUAAAUAUAUCUCAACAUACAACUACUUAAAAUGUCUUCCAUUAAUCUUCCUUCUGGAACUAGCAUGAAGAUUUAGCUCAAGAUAGCUUUUAAAUAACUUCAGUAUAACACUCUGUUCUGCAUAUGUACGCAUGACAUCAUUUGAUUAUGCCCAUUUUUCCUAUUUCAAGUCAUAUCGUGACAUAUGUAUAACCUAAAAUAUUAACCCUGCUCUCAUCUGUAUUUUAUUAAAAUACCAAUUUAUUCACCAACAUAAUUGCUUUUGGAUAUUUGAGCAUAAUUCACUGCUAAUUUGCAUGGCUCAUUUAGUGGGGUAAUUUUCUGUCAAGUAUGGAGUGAAAUCAGUGAUAAUAUAAAAAGAUUGUUUUAAGACAUAUAAAGUCCUUUAAAGAAAUGACAGUUUAAACCAUCUCUCCCUUUGCUCCUGUUUGGUACUCAUCCAUUCCAAGUUUGCCAAAGCCCCUUCUCUGUGGUGGGUCAUUACUAUUUAUAGCCAGACUGCUACUUUAAAUAGUGAACACAUUUAAAAAUCAAUAGGAAAUCUGAAGCCUUGUUCCCUAAAAGCUCAAGCAGAUAGAGAUCAUGCUGACUUUUCCUUAUACGUUACGGAAUAUAUUGUCAGCUCUGCUUCAUCUAGGCUCUCAAAUAUUGAACAAAAAAGGUAAUGAAUGUAUUUUAUUUAUCUGAAAACUAAGUUUAAAAAUCUUCCUUAACAUACGUUACAUUUGAAAGAGAAAAGUAAUGGUGAUUUGUUAUUAAAAUGUUGAUCCUGCCAACAUUCUGAUGCCCAGAAAAAGUCCUGUGACUGGCACAUGUACAAGGCAAGCCUAGUUGUCUCCUGAGAAUCAGUGGGCUUAAAGGGACUCUUCCUGAUCAAGGAAGUCCGGCCCAACUUUUCUUAUGAAUGCCCACAAGCAGUGUGUUUUCUCAACUGUGUCUUUGAUGAGAAAUGAGAAACACUGGACAGUCGGGGCAGAAAGGUCUUGGAAGAUGAAAUAGGGCUCCGUGAUACUGGAUCACAAGUGAUUAUGCUUAACCUGAUUCCCACAGAUCUGAGAAAAUGAGGGGCCAGGCUGGGGGACAAGAUCUGGAGCCACAGAAAGCCAUCAUGCAGAAGCGACAGUACAGAGGAUCACGGGCAAGGUAGAGGAUGAGGCUGGUGACAGGGCAGGACUAGGCCCUCUGGAAUUGGGGUCUGGAAGGGAGCUGGCAAGCUGGCAUCCAUGGCUGCUGUGGGUGGUAAUGGGGGGGUGACCAGAAGGCCCAUAGGAUGGAGUUCUAUAAGGCACAGGGCCUUAAGGCCGUGGGAAUGGAACAAUGUCAUGUGAAUGUCGGGUUCACUGUUUCUGGCCCAACCUUUGUACAAGAUGAUUUCAGGCAGCUCGGGUCCACAUAUGCCCACUCACUAGAGAAGAAAUACCAAGAGAAAGACACCCUCCCAAAUAUUAACCUCCCAAAGUCAAACCAGGGAAUGAUCCCAAUGUCAGGGCAAAAAAGAGUGAGGCUUAUCUGCUCUGCAGGGCGGAUGGACCACCUGCCUCUCUCCAGUGCCCUCUGCACAUGUUUAUAAUCCAUCCUGACCUGUUUCUCACUGGCGACGACUGAGUCCUUCUCAACAUAAUGCUUCAGGCCUGUGGUUCUCAAACUUCACUUUCCCCUGGAGUCACAUGGAGGCUCCCAGGUGAAGUGGCUGCUGCUAGUGGGGUGGAGGUGUGAGGAAUCUCUUUCUGAGAAUCACUCCAUAAGGCAAUGGUCUCCUGAUGGCCAGGUGAGCAUGAAGGGUGACACCUUUCUUCAUGGAGGAUUUUCCGCUAUUCAGAGCAUCCCAAAUCUGUCUUCAUUCAGAAGAGCAGGACCGGGAGGAAGGCUCACGGGCUUAAGGCCUACAUAGGGAUGGUGAGACCUCCCACACCUGGGAGGUUGUGACAAAGGUCCUUGAAUGUGUCUAGCAAGUGGCCAGUCCACUUGGAGGCCUGCCUGCAGAACUGCUACAGGAGCAAGAUUGUCCAUUCCUUCAACAAACCCUAUCUGAGCACCUACUAUGCACCAAGCAGAAAUCAGACAGAACCCCUGCCUUCAAGGAGCUCAUGUUGUACAGAAGACAGAUUUAAAAAUUAAAUAGCAAUGCACAUACACAUGUAUACGGGCCUAUAUGCAUGUAUAGGUGUGGUGUGUAUAUGUAUAAAAUCAUGGUGUGUGUAUGUGUGUAUAGCUGUAGAGAUCUACAUAUCUACAUGUAAUCUAUAUAGCUUAUAUUUAUCUAUCUAUCCAUCCAUCUAUCUAAAAUCAGGUCCUAAUAAGUUUCUUUGGAGGAAACUGAAGAAGAAAAGGAAUUGGAAACUAUUCCAUCUAGAAUGGAUAGACAAUAAGGACCUUUUGUACAGCACAGGGAACUAUAUCCAAUCUCCCAGUUUAGACCAUGAUAGAAAAUAAUAUUUAAAAAAGAAUGUGUAUAUAUACAUAUAUAUGACUGAGUCACUUUGCCGUAUGGCAGAAAUUAGCACUUCUACUGUAUAGCAGAAAUUAGCACAUUAAAUCAACUAUACUUUAGUAAAC